UACGUAGGGUGCGAGCGUUAAUCGGAAUUACUGGGCGUAAAGGGUGCGCAGGCGGAUAGGUAAGUUAGAUGUGAAAGCCCCGAGCUUAACUUGGGAAUUGCAUUUAAUACUACUUAUCUAGAGUUUGUCAGAGGGGGGUGGAAUUCCACGUGUAGCAGUGAAAUGCGUAGAUAUGUGGAGGAACACCGAAGGCGAAGGCAGCCCCCUGGGAUAAAACUGACGCUCAGGCACGAAAGCGUGGGUAGCAAACAGG
Molecule: ribosomal RNA, 253 nt
Filed under: uncultured bacterium
Lineage: Bacteria
Description: partial 16S ribosomal RNA
Rfam family: Bacterial small subunit ribosomal RNA
Source: RNAcentral